Non-coding RNA from Podarcis lilfordi (Lilford's wall lizard), 64 nucleotides. Lineage: Eukaryota; Metazoa; Chordata; Lepidosauria; Squamata; Lacertidae. The record is from the annotation of a GenBank genome assembly.
GAGAUAUAUGUAUCAAGCCUCGCUGGUGUUGUUAACAAGAGUGAUAAUAAAGAUGAAAAGGAUA